Molecule: ribosomal RNA, 468 nt
Filed under: uncultured bacterium
Lineage: Bacteria
Description: partial 16S ribosomal RNA
Rfam family: Bacterial small subunit ribosomal RNA
Source: RNAcentral
GACGAACGCUGGCGGCGUGCUUAAUACAUGCAAGUCGAACGGAAAGGCCCUGCCUUUGUGGGGUGCUCGAGUGCCGAACGGGUGAGUAACACAUGAGUAUCCUGCCCUUGACUUUGUGAUAACUUUAGGAAACUGGGGCUAAUACCGGAUAGGAUCUCCUGCUGCAUGGUGGGGGUAGGAGAGUUUCGGCGGUUGGGGAUGGACUCGCGGCUUAUCCGCUUGUUGGUGGGGUAGUGGCUUACCAAGGCUUUGACGGGUAGCCGGCCUGAGAGGGUGACCGGCCACAUGGGGACUGAGAGACGGCCCAGACUCCUACGGGAGGCAGCAGUGGGGAAUAUUGCACAAUGGGCGGAAGCCUGAUGCAGCAACGCCGCGUGCGGGAUGACGGCCUUCGGGUUGUAAACCGCUUUCGCCUGUGACGAAGCGUGAGUGACGGUAAUGGGUAAAGAAGCACCGGCUAACUACGUG